RNAcentral lists this long non-coding RNA (1115 nucleotides) under Marmota monax (woodchuck). The record is from RNAcentral. Lineage: Eukaryota; Metazoa; Chordata; Mammalia; Rodentia; Sciuridae.
AGUCCCAGAAGCAGAUCUCAGUCUCCUGACCUGACAGAAAAAUCCAAUUGUCAUAAUAAAAACUGGAAAGAUUAUAGUCACUAAGCUUUUGUCUCUGAUCAUCUGUCAGAUCUCCUUGAGCUGCUUUUAGAUCCAGAAGAACUCACUACAACAUUCCACUCAACUCAUAAUAGUCUCAUCAUUCAGGAAGCUGUUGUGGUGCCCAGUGAGUACAGCCUUCUUACUGAAGGCACAGUGAGUACAGCCAGGAAGAUCUAUCCACUUCAUGAACUUGCACCGUUGACAACCCCUGCAUGCAGAGAAUGACUUCUCAAAGAUUGCCAAGACUUUCUCUUUCUACAAACUGGAAGCUUGGUUGAGAGCCUGUUUAACUGGGACUCCAUUUGAUACAUCUGCUUGCCUCAAGUCAGGAAAAAAAAAAUUGUCUUGGGCUCAUCAAGUUGAAGGUACAACCAAAAGAGCUAAGAUUGCCUGAAAUAGUCACAUGGCCCCUAGAAUGCGCCCCUGGUGGUGAUGAGCCAGAUUUACAAGCAGAAACUGGCCAAGAGCUCAGAUACUCUGGCCUGGCGGGGGCACAUGUCAAGAUUCAUCACUGCAAUGAAAUCUUUUAUAUGUCUUCGCUGUCCCUUGAAAUCUGUGACAAUUGGGAAGUACAGAAAUAGCACCUUUGUCUUGGGCCCAUAGAGACUGCUCUUCACCUCUAUAGCUGUGACAACAUUGAAGUCAUUGCUGUUUGCCAUCAUUUGUCUAUCUCUUCAACCACAGGUUACAUUUUUUAAUAUUCUGAUGCCUACUUGCCCACUAUUCUCUCUGGGAAUCAGAGAGUAACUUUUGUCACUUUUCAUACUCACUACCUGAUGCUAGAGGACCAUUUGGCCUGGACAGGCCUUGCUACGGUGCCUAAUUAUUGAAAUAAUCCAAUAAUUGUGUGUAGAAAGAAUAGCAACACAAGUGUGUUCCAGCUCUCACCACCUUCUGAAUCCACUAUAUUUAUUAUUCCCUUCUAAAUGGUAGGGGACACCACAGAGAUACCUGGGGAUCUUCCAUCUGCAUAUCAGAAAGCAUUGGGUGAAAGAGAACAGAAGACACAGAUCUGGGGGAAAACUGUAAAGGAG